GGUCCUAUGGGUUAGUUGGCAAAGCGCCUGCCUUGUAAGCAGGAGAUCACGAGUUCGAGUCUCGUUGGUACCU
This 73-nucleotide transfer RNA is filed under the name Daphnia pulex (common water flea). RNAcentral describes it as "tRNA-Thr". It matches the Rfam family "tRNA". Rfam says of the family: Transfer RNA (tRNA) molecules are approximately 80 nucleotides in length. Their secondary structure includes four short double-helical elements and three loops (D, anti-codon, and T loops). Further hydrogen bonds mediate the characteristic L-shaped molecular structure. tRNAs have two regions of fundamental functional importance: the anti-codon, which is responsible for specific mRNA codon recognition, and the 3' end, to which the tRNAs corresponding amino acid is attached (by aminoacyl-tRNA synthetases). tRNAs cope with the degeneracy of the genetic code in two manners: having more than one tRNA (with a specific anti-codon) for a particular amino acid; and 'wobble' base-pairing, i.e. permitting non-standard base-pairing at the 3rd anti-codon position. The record is from RNAcentral. Lineage: Eukaryota; Metazoa; Arthropoda; Branchiopoda; Diplostraca; Daphniidae.